RNAcentral lists this ribosomal RNA (293 nucleotides) under uncultured bacterium. RNAcentral describes it as "partial 16S ribosomal RNA". It matches the Rfam family "Bacterial small subunit ribosomal RNA", at positions 775 to 1067 of the family's 1533-position model. The record is from RNAcentral.
GGAUUAGAUACCCUGGUAGUCCACACCGUAAACGCUGUCUACUAGCUGUGUGUGAUUUUAAAUCGUGCGUAGCGAAGCAAACGCGCUAAGUAGACCGCCUGGGGAGUACGGCCGCAAGGUUAAAACUCAAAUGAAUUGACGGGGGCCCGCACAAGCGGUGGAGCAUGUGGUUUAAUUCGAUGCAACGCGAAGAACCUUACCUACACUUGACAUGCCAAGAAUUUACCAGAGAUGGUUUAGUGCCUUCGGGAACUUGGACACAGGUGCUGCAUGGCUGUCGUCAGCUCGUGCUG